Molecule: ribosomal RNA, 278 nt
Filed under: uncultured bacterium
Lineage: Bacteria
Description: partial 16S ribosomal RNA
Rfam family: Bacterial small subunit ribosomal RNA
Source: RNAcentral
UGCCAGCAGCCGCGGUAAUACGAAGGGGGCAAGCGUUGUCCGGAUUUAUUGGGCGUAAGGGCGCGCAGGCGGUCUUGUCCGUCAGGUGUGAAAGCUCGGGGCUCAACCCCGGAAGUGCACUUGAAACAGCAAGACUUGAAUACGGUAGAGGAGAGAGGAAUUCCUGGUGUAGAGGUGAAAUUCGUAGAUAUCGGGAGGAACACCGAUGGCGAAGGCGGCUGACUGGUUCAGGACUGACGCUGAGGUACGAAAGCGUGGGGAGCAAACAGGAUUAGAUA